GUGGGGAAUCUUAGACAAUGGGCGAAAGCCUGACGCAGCCAUGCCGCGUGAAUGAUGAAGGUCUUAGGAUUGUAAAAUUCUUUCACCGGGGACGAUAAUGACGGUACCCGGAGAAGAAGCCCCGGCUAACUUCGUGCCAGCAGCCGCGGUAAUACGAAGGGGGCUAGCGUUGCUCGGAAUUACUGGGCGUAAAGGGCGCGUAGGCGGAUCGUUAAGUCAGGGGUGAAAUCCCAGAGCUCAACUCUGGAACUGCCCUUGAUACUGGCGAUCUUGAGUGUGAGAGAGGUAUGUGGAACUCCGAGUGUAGAGGUGAAAUUCGUAGAUAUUCGGAAGAACACCAGUGGCGAAGGCGACAUACUGGCUCAUUACUGACGCUGAGGCGCGAAAGCGUGGGGAGCAAACAGGAUUAGAUACCCUGGUAGUCC
Molecule: ribosomal RNA, 425 nt
Filed under: uncultured bacterium
Lineage: Bacteria
Description: partial 16S ribosomal RNA
Rfam family: Bacterial small subunit ribosomal RNA
Source: RNAcentral